AUUGAACGCUGGCGGUAGGCUUAACACAUGCAAGUCGAGCGGAAACGAAGGGUGCUUGCAUCCAGGCGUCGAGCGGCGGACGGGUGAGUAACGCGUGGGAAUUUGCCUAAUAGUGGGGGAUAGCCCAGAGAAAUUUGGAUUAAUACCGCAUAAUCUCUACGGAGUAAAGGUGGCCUCUCCUUGGAAGCCAUCGCUAUUAGAUAAGCCCGCGUUGGAUUAGCUUGUUGGUGAGGUAAAGGCUCACCAAGGCGACGAUCCAUAGCUGGUCUGAGAGGAUGAUCAGCCACACUGGAACUGAGACACGGUCCAGACUCCUACGGGAGGCAGCAGUGGGGAAUAUUGGACAAUGGGCGCAAGCCUGAUCCAGCCAUGCCGCGUGUGUGAAGAAGGCCUUAGGGUUGUAAAGCACUUUCAGUUGUGAGGAAAGGGGUGUAGUUAAUAGCUGCAUUCUGUGACGUUAACAACAGAAGAAGCACCGGCUAACUUCGUGCCAGCAGCCGCGGUAAUACGAGGGGUGCAAGCGUUAAUCGGAAUUACUGGGCGUAAAGCGUGCGUAGGCGGUUUGUUAAGCAAGAUGUGAAAGCCCAGGGCUCAACCUGGGAACUGCAUUUCGAACUGGCAGGCUAGAGUAUGGUAGAGGUAAGUGGAAUUUCCUGUGUAGCGGUGAAAUGCGUAGAUAUAGGAAGGAACACCAGUGGCGAAGGCGACUUACUGGACCAAUACUGACACUGAGGUGCGAAAGCGUGGGGAGCAAACGGGAUUAGAUACCCCGGUAGUCCACGCCGUAAACGAUGUCUACUAGCCGUUGGGAGACUUGAUCUCUUAUUGCCGCAGCUAACGCAUUAAGUACCCCACCUGGGGAGUACGAUCGCAAGGUUGAAACUCAAAGGAAUUGACGGGGGCCCGCACAAGCGGUGGAGCAUGUGGUUUAAUUCGAUGCAACGCGAAGAACCUUACCAGGUCUUGACAUCCUGCGAACUUUCUAGAGAUAGAUUGGUGCCUUCGGGAACGCAGUGACAGGUGCUGCAUGGCUGUCGUCAGCUCGUGUUGUGAAAUGUUGGGUUAAGUCCCGCAACGAGCGCAACCCUUAUCCUUAUUUGCCAGCACGUAAUGGUGGGAACUCUAGGGAGACUGCCGGUGAUAAACCGGAGGAAGGUGGGGACGACGUCAAGUCAUCAUGGCCCUUACGGCCUGGGCUACACACGUGCUACAAUGGGCAGUACAGAGGGAUGCAAACUCGCGAGAGUAAGCGGACCCCAGAAAGCUGUUCGUAGUCCGGAUUGGAGUCUGCAACUCGACUCCAUGAAGUCGGAAUCGCUAGUAAUCGCGGAUCAGAAUGCCGCGGUGAAUACGUUCCCGGGCCU
This 1364-nucleotide ribosomal RNA is filed under the name uncultured prokaryote. RNAcentral describes it as "partial 16S ribosomal RNA". It matches the Rfam family "Bacterial small subunit ribosomal RNA", at positions 28 to 1381 of the family's 1533-position model. The record is from RNAcentral.